This is a long non-coding RNA of Gasterosteus aculeatus aculeatus (three-spined stickleback), 1000 nucleotides long. The record is from Ensembl. NCBI's taxonomy places the organism in Eukaryota, Metazoa, Chordata, Actinopteri, Perciformes, Gasterosteidae.
CGCCCUUGAGAAGCCUUGUCCUGCCAAUCGUUUGGCUAUUUUCUCAGGCCUGAUCCGCCACCUCCUGCGAUCUCCGUCCAAACGGACGCGUCCUCCAUCAUUGAUGCAAGCGGUGGCCAGAGUGCGUUUGAUGAGCGCUGUGACCAGCAAGGCGACCGAGCGCCGGCCAUCAAAGCGUCUCCUUGCAGCUUUGAGCUGUUCUCUUUUUGUUUCCUUGCUCCCAUCUGCAUCAAAAAAAAAAAGGAAUCAAUAGCUGAAACUUUUGAGUACCAGUUUUUCCUUCCAUUACAACCCCCCGACGCCAGUUUGGCAGUUGCACAUUAUGCCACAAGAGUGAAAACCCAGUUAAAAGGAGGAAGGCACAAGGAGAUGACACCAGCGAGGAAGCGCCCGGCGUUGGGCAGGGCCCCCCGGCGGGGAGAAAAUCAAUGGGAAGGAACGCUUCCAUACACGGAAACGGCACAAUGGGAGGGAAAGGAGGGAGUCUGGAUUUUUCUUUCUUUUUUUUGUUUUUUUACUGAAAAAUGAUGCAUUUGUUUUACCCAGGGAGGGAAAAGACAAAGACAAGGAGAGAGGAAAAAAAUAAAUAAAACCCACUCUUCUGAAAAUCUAUUGAGGAAAAAAAAAAAAAGUUCUUUGGUGAGGUUGAGUUGUGUGGUUAAGGUUUGUUUUAUCCAACUGUGCCGGAGCGUGUGUAGCUGUCUUUCAGGUCUCUUUUUAGUCGAGGCGCAGGAAGACUACUCUUGGCAUGUUCAAGGGCACUCAGUGGACACGGAUGCCCUGCAGGAGGCGGAAUUAUGAAUACAACAUGAGUAAACAGACACCUACAUAUACUAUUAAAAUGCAGCUGUGAACAAAGAAUACAAUAGCGCGCAAACUCGAAACACAAUUCCAAGCCGGAGCCUUGAAUGGCAUUCAGACUUCACGGUGACUGAGUGAGCCCAUUCAGGGGGAGUGCGCGGCGGUUGGAGAGAUAGUAUCGAGUUGCCUGCAGAUGGAG